Molecule: ribosomal RNA, 685 nt
Filed under: Pseudomonadales bacterium K3a
Lineage: Bacteria; Pseudomonadati; Pseudomonadota; Gammaproteobacteria; Pseudomonadales
Description: bacterial SSU rRNA
Rfam family: Bacterial small subunit ribosomal RNA
Source: RNAcentral
UUCGUGGGCUACCAUGCAGUCGAGCGGAUGACGGGAGCUUGCUCCUUGAUUCAGCGGCGGACGGGUGAGUAAUGCCUAGGAAUCUGCCUGGCAGUGGGGGACAACGUUUCGAAAGGAACGCUAAUACCGCAUACGUCCUACGGGAGAAAGCAGGGGACCUUCGGGCCUUGCGCUAUCAGAUGAGCCUAGCUCCGAUUAGCUAGUUGGUGGGGUAAUGGCUCACCAAGGCGACGAUCCGUAACUGGGCUGAGACGAUGAUCAGUCUCACUGGAACUGAGAGAUGUUCCAGACUCGUACCGGAGGGAGCACUGUGUUACACUGGACAACGGGCGAAAGCGCGAGCCAGCCAUGCGGCGUGAGUGAACAUUGCCCUCCGAUUGUAAAGCCCGUUCAGGUGGCAGGACGGGGAGUUCCCCCACAGCUUGCCGUUUUGACCGUAACGAAUGAAUAGUGACCUUGCUAAGCCUGUGCCAGAAGCCGCGGUCAUUCAGAGCGGGCUCGGGUAUACCGGAAUUACUGGCUGUACAGCGCCCCUCACCGGUUCGUUACACUCGCAUAUGAGAGCCCCGCCACCAACUUGGGAACUGCCUCUAAAAUUUGGUGAUCUUCAGCACGGGAGAGAGUCGCUCUCUUUCCGGUGGAGGCCUUAAAUUCCGUAAAUUCAGGUAGGCAAACCUCGUGGCGA